This 402-nucleotide ribosomal RNA is filed under the name Verrucomicrobiota bacterium. RNAcentral's name for it is "Verrucomicrobia bacterium partial 16S ribosomal RNA". It matches the Rfam family "Bacterial small subunit ribosomal RNA", at positions 355 to 776 of the family's 1533-position model. The record is from RNAcentral. Lineage: Bacteria; Pseudomonadati; Verrucomicrobiota.
UGGGGAAUUUUGCACAAUGGGGGAAACCCUGAUGCAGCGACGCCGCGUGAUUUAGAAGGCCUUCGGGUUGUAAAAAUCUUUUGUAUGGGAAGAAAAUGACAGUACCAUACGAAUAAGGACCGGCUAAUUACGUGCCAGCAGCCGCGGUAAUACGUAAGGUCCGAGCGUUGUCCGGAAUCAUUGGGCGUAAAGGGUACGUAGGCGGAUAAGCAAGUUAGAAGUGAAAUCCUAUAGCUCAACUAUAGUAAGCUUUUAAAACUGCUCAUCUUGAGGUAUGGAAGGGAAAGUGGAAUUCCUAGUGUAGCGGUGAAAUGCGCAGAUAUUAGGAGUAAUACCGGUGGCGAAGGCGACUUUCUGGACUUUUACUGACGCUCAGGUACGAAAGCGUGGGGAGCAAACAGG